RNAcentral lists this ribosomal RNA (540 nucleotides) under uncultured bacterium. RNAcentral describes it as "partial 16S ribosomal RNA". It matches the Rfam family "Bacterial small subunit ribosomal RNA", at positions 355 to 888 of the family's 1533-position model. The record is from RNAcentral.
UGGGGAAUUUUGGACAAUGGGCGAAAGCCUGAUCCAGCAAUGCCGCGUGUGUGAAGAAGGCCUUCGGGUUGUAAAGCACUUUUGUCCGGAAAGAAAUCCUUGGCUCUAAUACAGUCGGGGGAUGACGGUACCGGAAGAAUAAGCACCGGCUAACUACGUGCCAGCAGCCGCGGUAAUACGUAGGGUGCAAGCGUUAAUCGGAAUUACUGGGCGUAAAGCGUGCGCAGGCGGUUUGCUAAGACCGAUGCGAAAUCCCCGGGCUCAACCUGGGAACUGCAUUGGUGACUGGCAGGCUAGAGUAUGGCAGAGGGGGGUAGAAUUCCACGUGUAGCAGUGAAAUGCGUAGAGAUGUGGAGGAAUACCGAUGGCGAAGGCAGCCCUCUGGGCCAAUACUGACGCUCAUGCACGAAAGCGUGGGGAGCAAACAGGAUUAGAUACCCUGGUAGUCCACGCCCUAAACGAUGUCAACUAGUUGUUGGGGAUUCAUUUCCUUAGUAACGUAGCUAACNGUGAAGUUGACCGCCUGGGGAGUAACGGUCG